CGGAGAGUUUGAUCCUGGCUCAGGAUGAACGCUAGCGGCGGGCCUAAUACAUGCAAGUCGAACGAUAUUAUCCAGCUUGCUGGAUAUGAAAGUGGCGCACGGGUGCGUAACGCGUAUGCAACCUACCUUAAUCAGGGGGAUAGCCCGAAGAAAUUCGGAUUAAGACCGCAUAAAAACACAGGAUAGCAUUAUCCAAUGUUCAAAUAUUUAUAGGAUUAAGAUGGGCAUGCGUGACAUUAGUUAGUUGGCGGGGUAACGGCCCACCAAGACCACGAUGUCUAGGGGAUCUGAGAGGAUGACCCCCCACACUGGUACUGAGACACGGACCAGACUCCUACGGGAGGCAGCAGUAAGGAAUAUUGGUCAAUGGAGGGAACUCUGAACCAGCCAUGCCGCGUGCAGGAUGACGGCCCUCUGGGUUGUAAACUGCUUUUAUUCGGGAAUAAACCUACUUACGUGUAAGUAGCUGAAUGUACCGAAGGAAUAAGGAUCGGCUAACUCCGUGCCAGCAGCCGCGGUAAUAUGGAGGAUCCAAGCGUUAUCCGGAUUUAUUGGGUUUAAAGGGUGCGUAGGCGGCUUUUUAAGUCAGGGGUGGAAGACGGUAGCUCAACUAUCGCAGUGCCCUUGAUACUGAAGAGCU
Molecule: ribosomal RNA, 640 nt
Filed under: uncultured bacterium
Lineage: Bacteria
Description: bacterial SSU rRNA
Rfam family: Bacterial small subunit ribosomal RNA
Source: RNAcentral